AUAACGACUCUCGGCAACGGAUAUYUCGGCUCUCGCAUCGAUGAAGAACGUAGSGAAAUGCGAUACUUGGUGUGAAUUGCAGAAUCCCGUGAACCAUCGAGUCUUUGAACGCAAGUUGCGCCCCAAGCCUUCUGGCCGAGGGCACGUCUGCCUGGG
RNAcentral lists this ribosomal RNA (156 nucleotides) under Aubrieta gracilis. RNAcentral describes it as "5.8S ribosomal RNA". It matches the Rfam family "5.8S ribosomal RNA". Rfam says of the family: 5.8S ribosomal RNA (5.8S rRNA) is a component of the large subunit of the eukaryotic ribosome. It is transcribed by RNA polymerase I as part of the 45S precursor that also contains 18S and 28S rRNA. Functionally, it is thought that 5.8S rRNA may be involved in ribosome translocation. The record is from RNAcentral. Lineage: Eukaryota; Viridiplantae; Streptophyta; Magnoliopsida; Brassicales; Brassicaceae.